RNAcentral lists this ribosomal RNA (1289 nucleotides) under Vibrio sp. RNAcentral describes it as "bacterial SSU rRNA". It matches the Rfam family "Bacterial small subunit ribosomal RNA", at positions 202 to 1485 of the family's 1533-position model. Lineage: Bacteria; Pseudomonadati; Pseudomonadota; Gammaproteobacteria; Vibrionales; Vibrionaceae. The record is from RNAcentral.
UUCGGGCCUCUCGCGUCAGGAUAUGCCUAGGUGGGAUUAGCUAGUUGGUGAGGUAAGGGCUCACCAAGGCGACGAUCCCUAGCUGGUCUGAGAGGAUGAUCAGCCACACUGGAACUGAGACACGGUCCAGACUCCUACGGGAGGCAGCAGUGGGGAAUAUUGCACAAUGGGCGCAAGCCUGAUGCAGCCAUGCCGCGUGUGUGAAGAAGGCCUUCGGGUUGUAAAGCACUUUCAGUCGUGAGGAAGGUAGUGUAGUUAAUAGCUGCAUUAUUUGACGUUAGCGACAGAAGAAGCACCGGCUAACUCCGUGCCAGCAGCCGCGGUAAUACGGAGGGUGCGAGCGUUAAUCGGAAUUACUGGGCGUAAAGCGCAUGCAGGUGGUUUGUUAAGUCAGAUGUGAAAGCCCGGGGCUCAACCUCGGAAUAGCAUUUGAAACUGGCAGACUAGAGUACUGUAGAGGGGGGUAGAAUUUCAGGUGUAGCGGUGAAAUGCGUAGAGAUCUGAAGGAAUACCGGUGGCGAAGGCGGCCCCCUGGACAGAUACUGACACUCAGAUGCGAAAGCGUGGGGAGCAAACAGGAUUAGAUACCCUGGUAGUCCACGCCGUAAACGAUGUCUACUUGGAGGUUGUGGCCUUGAGCCGUGGCUUUCGGAGCUAACGCGUUAAGUAGACCGCCUGGGGAGUACGGUCGCAAGAUUAAAACUCAAAUGAAUUGACGGGGGCCCGCACAAGCGGUGGAGCAUGUGGUUUAAUUCGAUGCAACGCGAAGAACCUUACCUACUCUUGACAUCCAGAGAACUUUCCAGAGAUGGAUUGGUGCCUUCGGGAACUCUGAGACAGGUGCUGCAUGGCUGUCGUCAGCUCGUGUUGUGAAAUGUUGGGUUAAGUCCCGCAACGAGCGCAACCCUUAUCCUUGUUUGCCAGCGAGUAAUGUCGGGAACUCCAGGGAGACUGCCGGUGAUAAACCGGAGGAAGGUGGGGACGACGUCAAGUCAUCAUGGCCCUUACGAGUAGGGCUACACACGUGCUACAAUGGCGCAUACAGAGGGCGGCCAACUUGCGAAAGUGAGCGAAUCCCAAAAAGUGCGUCGUAGUCCGGAUUGGAGUCUGCAACUCGACUCCAUGAAGUCGGAAUCGCUAGUAAUCGUGGAUCAGAAUGCCACGGUGAAUACGUUCCCGGGCCUUGUACACACCGCCCGUCACACCAUGGGGAGUGGGCUGCAAAAGAAGUAGGUAGUUUAACCUUCGGGGGGACGCUUACCACUUUGUGGUUCAUGACUGGGGUGAAU